RNAcentral lists this ribosomal RNA (504 nucleotides) under Serratia sp. (in: enterobacteria). Its description in RNAcentral is "bacterial SSU rRNA". It matches the Rfam family "Bacterial small subunit ribosomal RNA", at positions 232 to 728 of the family's 1533-position model. The record is from RNAcentral. Lineage: Bacteria; Pseudomonadati; Pseudomonadota; Gammaproteobacteria; Enterobacterales; Yersiniaceae.
CAGAUGGGAUUAGCUAGUAGGUGGGGUAAUGGCUCACCUAGGCGACGAUCCCUAGCUGGUCUGAGAGGAUGACCAGCCACACUGGAACUGAGACACGGUCCAGACUCCUACGGGAGGCAGCAGUGGGGAAUAUUGCACAAUGGGCGCAAGCCUGAUGCAGCCAUGCCGCGUGUGUGAAGAAGGCCUUCGGGUUGUAAAGCACUUUCAGCGAGGAGGAAGGGUUCAGUGUUAAUAGCACUGUUCAUUGACGUUACUCGCAGAAGAAGCACCGGCUAACUCCGUGCCAGCAGCCGCGGUAAUACGGAGGGUGCAAGCGUUAAUCGGAAUUACUGGGCGUAAAGCGCACGCAGGCGGUUUGUUAAGUCAGAUGUGAAAUCCCCGCGCUUAACGUGGGAACUGCAUUUGAAACUGGCAAGCUAGAGUCUUGUAGAGGGGGGUAGAAUUCCAGGUGUAGCGGUGAAAUGCGUAGAGAUCUGGAGGAAUACCGGUGGCGAAGGCGGCCCC